This 208-nucleotide ribosomal RNA is filed under the name uncultured bacterium. Its description in RNAcentral is "partial 16S ribosomal RNA". It matches the Rfam family "Bacterial small subunit ribosomal RNA", at positions 1294 to 1500 of the family's 1533-position model. The record is from RNAcentral.
CGGAUUGGAGUCUGNAACCCGACUCCAUGAAGCUGGAUUCGCUAGUAAUCGCGCAUCAGCCACGGCGCGGUGAAUAUGUUCCCGGGCCUUGUACACACCGCCCGUCACACCAUGAGAGUUGGGAAUACCCGAAGCCUGUGAGCUAACAUUUAUGAGGCAGCAGUCGAAGGUAGAAUCAAUGAUUGGGGUGAAGUCGUAACAAGGUACC